GAGCGAGAAAGGGGGGGCAACUCCCUGAGUAAAGCGGCGCACGGGUGAGUAACACGUGACUAACCUACCUUCGAGUGGGGGAUAACCUAGGGAAACCUGGGCUAAUACCGCAUAACAUCUUUGGAGUGGAAAUUCUGGAGAUCAAAGGGGCAAUUCGCUUGAAGAGGGGGUCGCGGCUGAUUAGCUAGUUGGCGGGGUAAUGGCCCACCAAGGCGAAGAUCGGUAGCCGGCCUGAGAGGGCGCACGGCCACACUGGAACUGAAACACGGUCCAGACUCCUACGGGAGGCAGCAGUGGGGAAUUUUGCGCAAUGGGGGAAACCCUGACGCAGCAACGCCGCGUGGAGGAUGAAGUCCCUUGGGACGUAAACUCCUUUCGACCGGGACGAUAAUGACGGUACCGGUGGAAGAAGCCCCGGCUAACUUCGUG
This 429-nucleotide ribosomal RNA is filed under the name uncultured bacterium. RNAcentral's name for it is "bacterial SSU rRNA". It matches the Rfam family "Bacterial small subunit ribosomal RNA", at positions 64 to 507 of the family's 1533-position model. The record is from RNAcentral.